CGUCCACAUCAUGUUGAAACGCCGGCUUCUGUACGAUCACCGAAGUUAAGCAACAGCAAGCCUAUUUAGUACCUAGAUGGGUGACCGCUUUCGAAUAUCAGG
Non-coding RNA from Acanthosepion pharaonis, 102 nucleotides. NCBI's taxonomy places the organism in Eukaryota, Metazoa, Mollusca, Cephalopoda, Sepiida, Sepiidae. The record is from the annotation of a GenBank genome assembly.